This 500-nucleotide ribosomal RNA is filed under the name uncultured Eubacteriales bacterium. RNAcentral describes it as "bacterial SSU rRNA". It matches the Rfam family "Bacterial small subunit ribosomal RNA", at positions 10 to 507 of the family's 1533-position model. The record is from RNAcentral. Lineage: Bacteria; Bacillati; Bacillota; Clostridia; Eubacteriales.
AGUUUGAUCCUGGCUCAGGAUGAACGCUGGCGGCGUAGCUUAACACAUGCAAGUCGAACGAAGCAUAAGAGACAGAAUACUACGGUAGGAAGAUUUUUAUGACUGAGUGGCGGACGGGUGAGUAACGCGUGGGUAACCUGCCUCAUACAGGGGGAUAACAGUUAGAAAUGGCUGCUAAUACCGCAUAAGCGCACAGUACUGCAUGGUACAGUGUGAAAAACUCUGGUGGUAUGAGAUGGACCCGCGUCUGAUUAGCUAGUUGGUGAGGUAAGGGCUCACCAAGGCAACGAUCAGUAGCCGACCUGAGAGGGUGAACGGCCACAUUGGGACUGAGACACGGCCCAAACUCCUACGGGAGGCAGCAGUGGGGAAUAUUGCACAAUGGGGGGAACCCUGAUGCGGCGACGCCGCGUGAAGGAAGAAGUAUUUCGGUAUGUAAACUUCUAUCAGCAGGGAAGAAAAUGACGGUACCUGACUAAGAAGCCCCGGCUAACUACGUG